CGAGCGCAACCCUUGUCCUUAGUUACCAGCACGUAUGGUGGGCACUCUAAGGAGACUGCCGGUGACAAACCGGAGGAAGGUGGGGAUGACGUCAAGUCAUCAUGGCCCUUACGGCCUGGGCUACACACGUGCUACAAUGGUCGGUACAAAGGGUUGCCAAGCCGCGAGGUGGAGCUAAUCCCAUAAAACCGAUCGUAGUCCGGAUCGCAGUCUGCAACUCGACUGCGUGAAGUCGGAAUCGCUAGUAAUCGUGAAUCAGAAUGUCACGGUGAAUACGUUCCCGGGCCUU
Molecule: ribosomal RNA, 289 nt
Filed under: uncultured Pseudomonas sp.
Lineage: Bacteria; Pseudomonadati; Pseudomonadota; Gammaproteobacteria; Pseudomonadales; Pseudomonadaceae
Description: partial 16S ribosomal RNA
Rfam family: Bacterial small subunit ribosomal RNA
Source: RNAcentral